Molecule: ribosomal RNA, 451 nt
Filed under: uncultured bacterium
Lineage: Bacteria
Description: bacterial SSU rRNA
Rfam family: Bacterial small subunit ribosomal RNA
Source: RNAcentral
GUGGGGAAUUUUGCGCAAUGGGCGAAAGCCUGACGCAGUAACGCCGCGUGGAGGAUGAAGGCCUUCGGGUUGUAAACUCCUGUCGGGAGGAACGACGGGGAAAGGGUGAUAAGCCUUUUCUACCAGACGGUACCUCCAAAGGAAGCCCCGGCUAAUUCCGUGCCAGCAGCCGCGGUAAUACGGAAGGGGCAAGCGUUGUUCGGAAUCAUUGGGCGUAAAGGGCGCGUAGGUGGUUUUGUGUGUCUACCGUGAAAGCGUACGGCUCAACCGUAUUUAGUCGGUAGAAACUGCAGGACUUGAGGCUGGGAGGGGCUGGUGGAAUUCCCCGUGUAGCGGUGAAAUGCGUAGAGAUGGGGGAGAACACUCGUGGCGAAGGCGGCCAGCUAGACCAGUUCUGACACUGAGGCGCGAUAGCGUGGGGAGCAAACAGGAUUAGAUACCCUAGUAGUCC